Molecule: ribosomal RNA, 119 nt
Organism: Erinaceus europaeus (western European hedgehog)
Lineage: Eukaryota; Metazoa; Chordata; Mammalia; Eulipotyphla; Erinaceidae
Source: Ensembl
GUCUACGGCCAUACCACCUUGAACACGCCCGAUCUCGUCUGAUCUCGAAAGCUAAGCUGGGUCGGACCUGGUUAGUACUGGAUGGGAGAAAGAAAGAGAUAGAGAGACAUCUGCAGCCC